Molecule: small RNA, 450 nt
Filed under: Histoplasma capsulatum var. duboisii H88
Lineage: Eukaryota; Fungi; Ascomycota; Eurotiomycetes; Onygenales; Ajellomycetaceae
Description: Histoplasma capsulatum H88 hypothetical RNA
Source: RNAcentral
AUGAGGACAGCGCGCAUUUUCAGUCAACAUUAGGAAUCUUAUAUACUUCUCCAUUAUUUUGCCUCAUUUUGAAUCCUUAGUUUCGGUUCGGUAAAGAGAUGUCCAAUUCUCUUCCCGUCUUGGUAUAAUUAGUAUGGGUAAAAUUGGAGAGAAAAUUAAACAAGUUUUCUUGCACCAAUGUGAUGAUGGAUUUUCCAUGUGAAGAUUGCUAAACUAAUUCGUCCCCAAAUUUCUUUAACCAUUUCUUUUGUGGGCUUGGAUAGGAAGGCUCAACCAAAUAGUGAGCAAGCAAUGGAUACGUACGGCGCUUAGCUUUGUUCCAUGCAUGAGCCGCUGCCCUUUUAGUAUGUAGUAAUACUAGAUUAUCCGUCCGUCGCAUCGGACGGACAUAGAUAGAUAGGCAAGCAAAAAUGACUGACAUGCCUAUCUAUCUAUAUAUAUGUAAUAUCG